AUGGCGAUCAACGGUAGUAGCUCCAGCAAAAGAAAAGUUGAAGCGCAGCAAGAGGGGGAGAGCAGCUCCAAGAAGCUGAAUGUCACCGUGGGGUUGGAGACCCUUGACUGUAGUAUCUGCUCUGCGCCCCUCAGGCCUCCGAUAUUCCAGUGCUCUGUGGGGCAUUUCAUAUGCUCCUCGUGCCGUGAAUGCGAGGAUCAACUGGACCACAAGUGCUCCACAUGCUCUGUCAAAACUUCCUACAAGCGCUGCUUUGGAAUGGAACAUGUCGCCCAGUCAGUCACAGUUGCUUGCUCCAAUGACAAGUACGGAUGUGCGGAGAAGUUCACCUACUAGAAGAAAGAAGAACACGAGAAAGCAUGCCCGAAUGCCCCAUGCUUCUGCCCAGAGUCCGGUUGUCAAUUCGCUGGGCCAACAAAGAUGCUCCUGAACCAUUUCACUACCCAGCACAAGUGUCCAUCUACAAAACUACCAAACUCUGGCACGGUGUCUCUCCACCUGAAACCGGGCUUACAUGUUCUGCAAUGCACCGGCACCAGCUACUUUAUCUUGCUCAGCAUGGCAUCGAAGCCUUUUGGACAUGCCAUCUCAGUCGUCUGCGUCCAACCAAACGUUACGGAAUUCAGGUUCGCAUGUACUAUGAGCUAUGACUGCCUAACGACCGGCUGCUGUGGAAGUACAAGCUGCCACAUAAGGAGCUCUUCGCUCUCUGAUGGGCUUCCGACAGUGUAUGACUUGAUACUUCCCAAGGGAAAGGUUUCUGAUGAUGAAAACAGCAUCGUGCUCAAAGCCACCAUUCGUCGUCAACCAUUAGGUCUCAGCAGAUCUUGUUUUCGAGAAAUGGGUCCGACUCCUGCACUUGAACGAAAUCCCGAUACUUGUGAUGUUGAGGAGGAGGAGGAGGAUCAUGAGGAAGAGGAGGAGCAUAAUGAGGAAGAGUUGGAUGAUGAUCAUGAGGACGAGGAUGAUGAUGAUGAUGAUGAUGAUGAUGAGGAGGAGGAGGAGGAGGAGGAGGAGGAUAAUGAAGAAGAGUUGGAUGAUGAUCAUGAGGACGAUGGUGAUGAUGAUGAGGAGGAGGAGGUGGAUGAGGACUAG
This 1095-nucleotide ribosomal RNA is filed under the name Triticum aestivum (bread wheat). RNAcentral's name for it is "partial small subunit ribosomal RNA". The record is from RNAcentral. Lineage: Eukaryota; Viridiplantae; Streptophyta; Magnoliopsida; Poales; Poaceae.